This 253-nucleotide ribosomal RNA is filed under the name uncultured bacterium. RNAcentral's name for it is "partial 16S ribosomal RNA". It matches the Rfam family "Bacterial small subunit ribosomal RNA", at positions 524 to 776 of the family's 1533-position model. The record is from RNAcentral.
GACAGAGGGUGCAAACGUUGCUCGGAAUUACUGGGCGUAAAGCGCGUGUAGGCGGGCCCCCAAGUCGGACGUGAAAGCCCCGAGCUCAACUCGGGAACUGCAUCCGAAACUGAGGGCCUUGAGUGAUGGAGAGGGAAGCAGAAUUCCCAGUGUAGCGGUGAAAUGCGUAGAUAUUGGGAGGAACACCGGUGGCGAAGGCGGCUACCUGGACCGGUUCUGACGCUGAUGCGCGAAAGCGUGGGUAGCAAACAGG